This 773-nucleotide ribosomal RNA is filed under the name uncultured bacterium. Its description in RNAcentral is "bacterial SSU rRNA". It matches the Rfam family "Bacterial small subunit ribosomal RNA", at positions 8 to 796 of the family's 1533-position model. The record is from RNAcentral.
AGAGUUUGAUCCUGGCUCAGGACGAACGCUGGCGGCGUGCUUAACACAUGCAAGUCGAACGGUGAACCUGCUUCGGUGGGGGAUCAGUGGCGAACGGGUGAGUAACACGUGGGCAACCUGCCCCCGGCUCUGGGAUAACUCCAAGAAAUUGGGGCUAAUACCGGAUGUGACCGCUGACCGCAUGGUCUGGUGGUGGAAAGAUUUAUCGGCUGGGGAUGGGCCCGCGGCCUAUCAGCUUGUUGGUGGGGUAGUGGCCUACCAAGGCGACGACGGGUAGCCGGCCUGAGAGGGUGACCGGCCACACUGGGACUGAGACACGGCCCAGACUCCUACGGGAGGCAGCAGUGGGGAAUAUUGCGCAAUGGGCGGAAGCCUGACGCAGCGACGCCGCGUGGGGGAUGACGGCCUUCGGGUUGUAAACCUCUUUCAGCAGGGACGAAGCGGAAGUGACGGUACCUGCAGAAGAAGCACCGCCAACUACGUGCCAGCAGCCGCGGUAAUACGUAGGGUGCAAGCGUUGUCCGGAAUUAUUGGGCGUAAAGAGCUCGUAGGCGGUCUGUCGCGUCGGCUGUGAAAUCCCGAGGCUCAACCUCGGGUCUGCAGUCGAUACGGGCAAACUAGAGUGUUGCAGGGGAGACUGGAAUUCCUGGUGUAGCGGUGAAAUGCGCAGAUAUCAGGAGGAACACCGGUGGCGAAGGCGGGUCUCUGGGCAACAACUGACGCUGAGGAGCGAAAGCGUGGGGAGCGAACAGGAUUAGAUACCCUAGUAGUCC